This 713-nucleotide long non-coding RNA is filed under the name Setaria viridis. RNAcentral describes it as "long non-coding RNA (SVIR_LNC003632)". The record is from RNAcentral. Lineage: Eukaryota; Viridiplantae; Streptophyta; Magnoliopsida; Poales; Poaceae.
UAUAAACUAAAUAAAAAUAUGUAUAUGGUAUCUAAAAUAGUAGGAAGAAAUAUAAUAAAAAAUAAUUCUAUAUUACCCUAAAUGAGAUUCAAUUAAACCAUGGAUGUAAUAAUUAAUAAAAAGAAGGAAAAAAAUCAAACUCAAUUAUAUAUUAAUUCAAUCAACUUCAUUAAUUAAAACUAUGGAUGUAAUAAUUAAUAAGUAUGAAAAAUAUAAUCAAACUCAAUUCUAUAUUACAUUAAAAUGACGAACAUAGUAUUGUAAUGGUUAUAAUAUGACCAUAAAAUUUUAUUUACAAAAAUAAUUCAUUUCUACUUACUUUAUAGAAACCUUAUUUAGCCAGCUCCUCCAAAAAAAUCAAGAGCAAAACGAUCCCCUUAGAUUUGGUAUUUUUGGAACUUUUCCCGAGCUCCUGUCGGGCAACCUCCAAAUGAAAGGUUGGCUAGGGAAGAAUACAUAAAUGCAAAGAUUUUAUCUUGGGUUCGUCCCUACUUCUUCGAAAUCAAUUUAGCAUUCUCUUUUCUUUUCAGUGUAAAAGUAAAUGUUAUUUUCUUUCUUGCUCGUAUCCACCACCACUUGGAUAAACUUCCUUCCCAAAUAUUUGUUCCCCCAUCAUCUCUUCUAGUAACAUAGGUAUACUAUAACGGUAUAAUACCCAUAUAAAGCUGCAAAGCGAAGGAGCUUAUUUUUGAGGUCUCCUCGUUUCUCCCACG